AACGAACGCUGGCGGCAUGCCUAACACAUGCAAGUCGAACGAGACCUUCGGGUCUAGUGGCGCACGGGUGCGUAACGCGUGGGAACCUGCCUUUAGGUUCGGAAUAACUCAGAGAAAUUUGAGCUAAUACCGGAUAAUGUCUUCGGACCAAAGAUUUAUCGCCUUUAGAUGGGCCCGCGUUGGAUUAGCUAGUUGGUGGGUAAAGGCCUACCAAGGCGACGAUCCAUAGCUGGUCUGAGAGGAUGAUCAGCCACACUGGGACUGAGACACGGCCCAGACUCCUACGGGAGGCAGCAGUGGGGAAUAUUGGACAAUGGGCGAAAGCCUGAUCCAGCAAUGCCGCGUGAGUGAUGAAGGCCUUAGGGUUGU
This 369-nucleotide ribosomal RNA is filed under the name uncultured bacterium. RNAcentral describes it as "bacterial SSU rRNA". It matches the Rfam family "Bacterial small subunit ribosomal RNA", at positions 29 to 426 of the family's 1533-position model. The record is from RNAcentral.